Molecule: long non-coding RNA, 283 nt
Filed under: Brassica rapa (field mustard)
Lineage: Eukaryota; Viridiplantae; Streptophyta; Magnoliopsida; Brassicales; Brassicaceae
Description: long non-coding RNA (BRAP_LNC007611)
Source: RNAcentral
UUUAAAAUAAAAGAAGAUAUAGAUAGGGUAGAAAAGGGGUUAGUCCAUCAACGGUAAAGCCCAUUUAAAUUUUUUCAUAUCGAAGGAAAGUCAGGACUAGGCGACAAAAAGGAUAAACAUAAAUUAAAUGAGAGAAUAUUAGAAAUAUGAAGAAAUAGAGGAUCAUCUAUUCUUUGAAUGUCCAUACGCUAAACGUAUCUGGAGAGCUUCGGGUAUUUCAAAUAGGAUAAUUAAUAGCUCCUCCUCAUCGUUGGAAGAUAAAGUAUCUGAAUGUCUGGAAAGC